AGCAUUUAUUGUGGACCUGGGAUUCCUAGGACUGCAUUCUGAUGAAGUGCAUCAAAGGACCUGAGCCCUAGGACCAUGCCCCAGGACUACCUGACAUGAUGACUCCUUGCUGUCCCCAGUCCACCUGGCCGUGCUGCUCCUCCAGUUUCAACUGUUCUGCCUUAUUAUUAUUGGACCAUGCUGGUCAUUUAUGAACAAUUGAACAUCUUGGCCAUGUUCUGUUAUAAUCUCCACCCGGCACAGCCAGAAGAGGACUGGCCACCCCACAUAGCCUGGUUCCUCCCUAGGUUUUGGCCUUUCUAUGGAGUUUUUCCUAGCCACCGUGCUUCUACACCUGCAUUGCUUGCUGUUUGGGGUUUUAGGCUGGGUUUUUGUACAGCACUUUGAGAUAUCAGCUGAUGUACGAAGGGCUAUAUAAAUAAAUUUGAUUUGAUUCAUGUCAUAUCACUUAAUCCAGCAUAGCUUGAAAAAGUAUUUAUAGUUGCUGAUGUUACACAUGUUUGUUAACAAGUUACAAAUGCGAGAUGUGGUGCAUAACAAGUUAAUAGGCGCAAGGCUAACUAGCUAGCCAACUCCAUAUAUGAACUAACGUUUGCUAGCAUCGCUUGUAGCUGAACUUGUAACAUGAAAUGAGAACUUGUUCUCAACUGGCCUACAUGGUUAAAUAAAAACAUACAGUGGGGCAAAAAAGUAUUUAGUCAGCCACCAAUUGUGCAAGUUCUCCCACUUAAAAAGAUUAGAGGCCUGUAAUUUUCAUCAUAGGUACACUUCAACUAUGACAGACAAAAUGAGAAAAAAAAUCUUGAAAAUCACAUUGUAGGAUUUUUAAAGAAUUUAUUUGCAAAUUAUGGUGGAAAAUAAGUAUUUGGUCAGUAACAAAAGUUUCUCAAUACUUUGUUAUAUACCCUUUGUUGGCAAUGACAGAGGUCAAACGUUUUCUGUAAGUAUUCACAAGGUUUUGUUCACAAAGUCUAUGUUUGUUUUUCUAUGAUUUGGGUAUUUCUAUGUUUCGGCCUAGUAUGGUUCUCAAUCAGAGGCAGGUGUCAUUGGUUGUCUCUGAUUGAGAAUCAUACUUAGGUAGCCUGGGUUUCACUGUGUGUUUGUGGGUGUUUGUUUUCGUGUCUGUGUUUUUCACCACACGGUACUGUUUUGGGUUUCGUUCAUUCAACGUUUAUUGUUUUUGUAAUCAGUUGUUCAUGUGUACAUUUUUUCGUAUUAAAAGAACCAUGGACACUUA
Molecule: long non-coding RNA, 1237 nt
Organism: Oncorhynchus tshawytscha (Chinook salmon)
Lineage: Eukaryota; Metazoa; Chordata; Actinopteri; Salmoniformes; Salmonidae
Source: Ensembl